Molecule: non-coding RNA, 110 nt
Organism: Danio rerio (zebrafish)
Lineage: Eukaryota; Metazoa; Chordata; Actinopteri; Cypriniformes; Danionidae
Source: Rfam
GCCGGCAGCUAGCUCUCUGCAACUCUCACAUGGUCACCCACUGAAGCAGGGCUGCGCCUGGUCAGUACCUGGAUGGGAGACCACAUGGGAAAGCUAGGUUGCAGCCGGAA